This is a non-coding RNA of Salmo salar (Atlantic salmon), 53 nucleotides long. Lineage: Eukaryota; Metazoa; Chordata; Actinopteri; Salmoniformes; Salmonidae. The record is from Rfam.
UGUAUACUUGACUGUAAGUUGCUUUGGAUAAAGUAUCUGCUAAAUGGCAUAUG